This 1284-nucleotide ribosomal RNA is filed under the name Triticum aestivum (bread wheat). RNAcentral's name for it is "partial small subunit ribosomal RNA". The record is from RNAcentral. Lineage: Eukaryota; Viridiplantae; Streptophyta; Magnoliopsida; Poales; Poaceae.
AUGAGCAGCGAGCUGCCGCCGCCGGCGGCGGCUGCGCCAGCAGCCAAACCUCCGUCGAUCCCCUCCACGGCCACCACCACCACCACCACCCUCGCCACCGCCGGCGACGGAACCACAACCAUAUCCUCGCUGGGCCAAGACCAGCUCCUGGAGAUCUUCCUCCGGCUGCCCAGCCUGCCAGCCCUCGUCCGCGCCGCGCUCACCUGCCGCUCCUGGCUCGGCGCCGUCCGCUCCUCCCGGCCCUUCCGCCGCCUCUUCCGCGCCCUCCACCCGGCGCCCCCCCUCGGGAUCUUCCUCGAGGUCGACGACAGCACCGCCCCCUCCUUCGCCCCCUUGCGCCGCUCAGAUCCGGACGUCAUCGCCGCCCUCCGCCGCGGCGACUUCUUCCUCACCUCCCUCCCGCUGGGCGACGUCGCGCCCAGGGGCUGGACCGUCACGGACUGCCGCCACGGCUACAUCCUCUUGUGGAACACCUUCCGGGCCGUGGCCGCGGUGAACCCCAUGACCUGGGAGGUGGACACCAUCCCGGUGCCCGACGACGUCGUGGACGGGGGUACCAGCGAAUUCGCCUUCCUUAGCUUCCUAUUGCUGUCUUCCGAGGAGAACCCUAGGUCGUUCGGCGUGGUCUGCGUCUGCGCCGACGUGUCUAGGGUUCGCGCCGCCGUCUUCUCGUCGGGGACGAGGGAUUGGGUCAUCCACCCAUGGGCGGAAAUCGGCCGUGAGUAUGGCCUAAUGUACGGUGCUAACACGCUGGUGGAUGGCUCCGUUUACUGCCCUUUCUAUGAGGGAAGAAGUGUGAUUAAGAUAAACACAGCCACCAUGGAUUUCUCCUCUCUGGAUCUACCCUCGCGGGUAAUUGAUUACGGACAGGCGGAUUUCAUCGUUGGGGACACUAAGGAUGGAGAGCUCUGCAUGCUAUAUGCAUCUGAUGAUUUUUACCUCCAUGCUUGGAUCCGUGGUGUGGACGGUGAUGGAAUUGGGAUUUGGGUGCCGCAGCUCAUACUCUCAUUGAGCGCAGAGAUUGACCGGACGAGUGGGGAAUCGGAGGGCAAACUCAGAGUUGUGCAAGCUAGGUCUGGAUGCGUGUACUUGUACUUGACAUGCAUAACCCCUGCUGGCACACAACGCAGCUGGUUAUUCUACCAUUCAUUGGGGACCACGGAGAUUGAGUUACUGAUCAAUGGGACAUUUGAUGACUAUGCCUAUCCGUAUAUUAUGGCCUGGCCUCCUUGUUUGAUUGGUGAUGAUGGGGCCACUGGGCAUGAAGUUGAAGGUUCUCACUAA